UUCGCAAUGCCCGAAAGGGUGACGAAGCGACGCCGCGUGUGGGAAGAAGGCCUUCGGGUUGUAAACCACUGUUGGGAGUUAGGAAGUGUGGGGGUGUUAAUAGCGCUUCCACUUGACUAAAGCUCCAGAGGAAGCCACGGUUAACUCUGUGCCAGCAGCCGCGGUAAUACAGAGGCGGCAAGCGUUGUUCGGAAUUAUUGGGCGUAAAGAGCACGUAGGCGGCUCUGCAAGUCAGCUGUGAAAGCCUUCUGCUUAACGGAAGAACAGCAGUUGAAACUACAGGGCUUGAGUGCGGGAGGGGAGAGUGGAACUUCUGGUGGAGCGGUGAAAUGCGUAGAUAUCAGAAGGAACGCCGGCGACGAAAGCGGCUCUCUGGUCCGCAACUGACGCUGAGUGUGCGAAAGCUAGGGGAGCAAACGGGAUUAGAUACCCCGGUAGUCCUAGCCGUAAACGAUGGGCACUAAGUAGAGGGGUUUU
RNAcentral lists this ribosomal RNA (477 nucleotides) under uncultured anaerobic ammonium-oxidizing bacterium. RNAcentral describes it as "bacterial SSU rRNA". It matches the Rfam family "Bacterial small subunit ribosomal RNA", at positions 365 to 832 of the family's 1533-position model. The record is from RNAcentral.